This 381-nucleotide ribosomal RNA is filed under the name Triticum aestivum (bread wheat). RNAcentral describes it as "partial small subunit ribosomal RNA". The record is from RNAcentral. Lineage: Eukaryota; Viridiplantae; Streptophyta; Magnoliopsida; Poales; Poaceae.
AUGAACAUGAAGUGCUCCUUCUCUGAGCUAACAUGCAGAUUGUUCUACGAGAUUGACAAUGAUGAUAACUGCGACCUGUCACGAGCCGAGUUGCAUGCCCUUAUCAUUGGAAUCAACUUUGAGGAGAUUGACUUUGACAAGAAUGAUGUUGUGGACAAAAUCAUGGACGACUUCGACACAUCAGGCAAUGGCACAAUAGAUGAGGGAGAGUUCGUUGUGGGAAUGAAGAUAUGGCUCAAUGAGGCCAAGAGAAAGGUGCAGGCUAUGGGUGCCUACACUAACAAGUUCAUCAACGACUACCAUGAGAGAACACGGGAGGAACAUGAUCAGCUGGCGGUAAGCGACGAAGAGGUGGAACCUGUGGAAAACCCGGAAGAAUGA